UGCAUCGAUGAAGAACGUAGCAAAAUGCGAUAACUAGUGUGAAUUGGAGAAUCCCAUGAACCGUUGAGUCUUUGAACGCACGUUGCGCCCGAGGCCACCCGACCRAGGGAAUGCCUGCCUGGGCAUCAUGC
This 131-nucleotide ribosomal RNA is filed under the name Phytelephas schottii. Its description in RNAcentral is "partial 5.8S ribosomal RNA". It matches the Rfam family "5.8S ribosomal RNA", at positions 29 to 154 of the family's 154-position model. From Rfam's summary of the family: 5.8S ribosomal RNA (5.8S rRNA) is a component of the large subunit of the eukaryotic ribosome. It is transcribed by RNA polymerase I as part of the 45S precursor that also contains 18S and 28S rRNA. Functionally, it is thought that 5.8S rRNA may be involved in ribosome translocation. The record is from RNAcentral. Lineage: Eukaryota; Viridiplantae; Streptophyta; Magnoliopsida; Arecales; Arecaceae.